CGAAUGCUGACAUAAGUAACGAUAAAGCGGGUGAAAAGCCCGCUCGCCGGAAGACCAAGGGUUCCUGUCCAACGUUAAUCGGGGCAGGGUGAGUCGACCCCUAAGGCGAGGCCGAAAGGCGUAGUCGAUGGGAAACAGGUUAAUAUUCCUGUACUUGGUGUUACUGCGAAGGGGGGACGGAGAAGGCUAUGUUGGCCGGGCGACGGUUGUCCCGGUUUAAGCGUGUAGGCUGGUUUUCCAGGCAAAUCCGGAAAAUCAAGGCUGAGGCGUGAUGACGAGGCACUACGGUGCUGAAGCAACAAAUGCCCUGCUUCCAGGAAAAGCCUCUAAGCAUCAGGUAACAUCAAAUCGUACCCCAAACCGACACAGGUGGUCAGGUAGAGAAUACCAAGGCGCUUGAGAGAACUCGGGUGAAGGAACUAGGCAAAAUGGUGCCGUAACUUCGGGAGAAGGCACGCUGAUAUGUAGGUGAAGCGACUUGCUCGUGGAGCUGAAAUCAGUCGAAGAUACCAGCUGGCUGCAACUGUUUAUUAAAAACACAGCACUGUGCAAACACGAAAGUGGACGUAUACGGUGUGACGCCUGCCCGGUGCCGGAAGGUUAAUUGAUGGGGUUAGCGGUAACGCGAAGCUCUUGAUCGAAGCCCCGGUAAACGGCGGCCGUAACUAUAACGGUCCUAAGGUAGCGAAAUUCCUUGUCGGGUAAGUUCCGACCUGCACGAAUGGCGUAAUGAUGGCCAGGCUGUCUCCACCCGAGACUCAGUGAAAUUGAACUCGCUGUGAAGAUGCAGUGUACCCGCGGCAAGACGGAAAGACCCCGUGAACCUUUACUAUAGCUUGACACUGAACAUUGAGCCUUGAUGUGUAGGAUAGGUGGGAGGCUUUGAAGUGUGGACGCCAGUCUGCAUGGAGCCGACCUUGAAAUACCACCCUUUAAUGUUUGAUGUUCUAACGUUGGCCCCUGAUCGGGGUUGCGGACAGUGUCUGGUGGGUAGUUUGACUGGGGCGGUCUCCUCCUAAAGAGUAACGGAGGAGCACGAAGGUUGGCUAAUCCUGGUCGGACAUCAGGAGGUUAGUGCAAUGGCAUAAGCCAGCUUGACUGCGAGCGUGACGGCGCGAGCAGGUGCGAAAGCAGGUCAUAGUGAUCCGGUGGUUCUGAAUGGAAGGGCCAUCGCUCAACGGAUAAAAGGUACUCCGGGGAUAACAGGCUGAUACCGCCCAAGAGUUCAUAUCGACGGCGGUGUUUGGCACCUCGAUGUCGGCUCAUCACAUCCUGGGGCUGAAGUAGGUCCCAAGGGUAUGGCUGUUCGCCAUUUAAAGUGGUACGCGAGCUGGGUUUAGAACGUCGUGAGACAGUUCGGUCCCUAUCUGCCGUGGGCGCUGGAGAACUGAGGGGGGCUGCUCCUAGUACGAGAGGACCGGAGUGGACGCAUCACUGGUGUUCGGGUUGUCAUGCCAAUGGCACUGCCCGGUAGCUAAAUGCGGAAGAGAUAAGUGCUGAAAGCAUCUAA
This 1510-nucleotide ribosomal RNA is filed under the name Escherichia coli. RNAcentral's name for it is "partial 23S ribosomal RNA". It matches the Rfam family "Bacterial large subunit ribosomal RNA", at positions 1291 to 2784 of the family's 2925-position model. The record is from RNAcentral. Lineage: Bacteria; Pseudomonadati; Pseudomonadota; Gammaproteobacteria; Enterobacterales; Enterobacteriaceae.